This 73-nucleotide transfer RNA is filed under the name Phycisphaerales bacterium. RNAcentral describes it as "tRNA-Asp". It matches the Rfam family "tRNA". From Rfam's summary of the family: Transfer RNA (tRNA) molecules are approximately 80 nucleotides in length. Their secondary structure includes four short double-helical elements and three loops (D, anti-codon, and T loops). Lineage: Bacteria; Pseudomonadati; Planctomycetota; Phycisphaerae; Phycisphaerales. The record is from RNAcentral.
GUCCUCGUAGCUCAAUAGCGGAGCGCCGGGUUGUCAACCCGGAGGGUGUGGGUGCGAGUCCCACCGGGGGCGC